RNAcentral lists this ribosomal RNA (497 nucleotides) under uncultured bacterium. Its description in RNAcentral is "partial 16S ribosomal RNA". It matches the Rfam family "Bacterial small subunit ribosomal RNA", at positions 28 to 507 of the family's 1533-position model. The record is from RNAcentral.
GAUGAACGCUGGCGGCGUGCCUAAUACAUGCAAGUCGAGCGAACGGACGAGAAGCUUGCUUCUCUGAUGUUAGCGGCGGACGGGUGAGUAACACGUGGAUAACCUACCUAUAAGACUGGGAUAACUUCGGGAAACCGUAGCUAAUACCGGAUAAUAUUUUGAACCGCAUGGUUCAAAAGUGAAAGACGGUCUUGCUGUCACUUAUAGAUUGAUCCGCGCUGCAUUAGCUAGUUGGUAAGGUAACGGCUUACCAAGGCAACGAUGCAUAGCCGACCUGAGAGGGUGAUCGGCCACACGGGAACUGAGACACGGUCCAGACUCCUACGGGAGGCAGCAGUAGGGAAUCGUCCGCAAUGGGCGAAAGCCUGACGGAGCAACGCCGCGUGAGUGAUGAAGGUCUUCGGAUCGUAAAACUCUGUUAUUAGGGAAGAACAUAUGUGUAAGUAACUGUGCACAUCUUGACGGUACCUAAUCAGAAAGCCACGGCUAACUACGUG